Molecule: long non-coding RNA, 464 nt
Filed under: Setaria viridis
Lineage: Eukaryota; Viridiplantae; Streptophyta; Magnoliopsida; Poales; Poaceae
Description: long non-coding RNA (SVIR_LNC005798)
Source: RNAcentral
GAAAGAAAAAAAAUAGAAAAGAAAGAUAGACAGAAAGAAAAGAAAGAAAGAAAAGAAAGAAAAGAAAGAAAAAAAGGAAGAAAGAAAAGAAAGAGAAAGAAGAAGAGAAGGGUUUUUCUUUUGUUGUUAUUCAUCUCCUUGUGAUCCUUCUUUGCUGCACCUCAGUGACUUAGUUUGUAUCCAGGCUCGCGUCUCUAGCACAUACUAGCCUAGGACCAGCACAAUAACGUUGUUAAGUGUUUGUUCAAUUUGCUUGCAACUAACGUGGUUCUAGUAUUUCCUUGCUUUAGCCCAAGUACAGCUCCACAUAUUUGACUACAGCUUGAUAGGGGUUGUUGCUUCGGCACCAAUAUACUUUUUCUUCAACGGUUGCAGACUUGUUGGUUGCCGUCACCUCCUAUUUGGCUUGGUAAGAACAUGUAAGAACUUGAAUGGACAAGUUUGAAUGAAAAUAAUAAUCUUCC